GCAAACUUGGUCAUUUAGAGGAAGUAAAAGUCGUAACAAGGUCUCCGUAGGUGAACCUGCGGAGGGAUCAUUUGUGAAAGCUUGCGUCCGUCCCUUGACUGGGACGGAUCAACCCCUAAAUCUUGUGGGCAGACGGUUUGUGGUUUGGCGACCAAGAAGGUCGCCACCUUCAUGUCAGAAGCUGAGUUGUCUGAAUCUGAAUCAAAAAGUCAAAACUUUCAACACUGGAUCUCUUGGCUCUUGCAUCGAUGAAGAACGCAGC
RNAcentral lists this unclassified non-coding RNA (262 nucleotides) under uncultured fungus. Its description in RNAcentral is "partial contains small subunit ribosomal RNA, internal transcribed spacer 1, and 5.8S ribosomal RNA". The stretch from base 1 to 73 matches the Rfam family "Eukaryotic small subunit ribosomal RNA", at positions 1759 to 1831 of the family's 1831-position model. The record is from RNAcentral. Lineage: Eukaryota; Fungi.